RNAcentral lists this ribosomal RNA (384 nucleotides) under uncultured eukaryote. RNAcentral describes it as "partial 18S ribosomal RNA". It matches the Rfam family "Eukaryotic small subunit ribosomal RNA", at positions 592 to 976 of the family's 1831-position model. The record is from RNAcentral.
CAAUAGCGUAUAUUAAAGUUGUUGCGGUUAAAAAGCUCGUAGUUGGAUUUCGGCGGACAGGGGGCGGUUCGAUAUUUGUCGCUACUGCCCCAUUUGUCCGUGUUUUUGGCGGAGGUUUCAGGGUGCUCUUCACCGAGUGUCCUGGGAUGUCGUCAGGUUUACUUUGAAAAAAUUAGAGUGCUCAAAGCAGGCUUUACACGCUUGAAUAUUCGUGCAUGGAAUAAUGGAAUAGGACGUCGUUUCUAUUUUGUUGGUUUUCGGAAAUCGACGUAAUGAUUAACAGGGACAGUCGGGGGCAUUAGUAUUCAGACGACAGAGGUGAAAUUCUUGGACCGUCUGAAGACUAACUACUGCGAAAGCAUUUGCCAAGAAUGUUUUCAUUAA